Molecule: non-coding RNA, 31 nt
Filed under: Mus musculus (house mouse)
Lineage: Eukaryota; Metazoa; Chordata; Mammalia; Rodentia; Muridae
Source: RNAcentral
CACAAUGAGAAAGAUAAGAUGGGCUUGUGUU